Molecule: ribosomal RNA, 499 nt
Filed under: uncultured bacterium
Lineage: Bacteria
Description: partial 16S ribosomal RNA
Rfam family: Bacterial small subunit ribosomal RNA
Source: RNAcentral
GAUGAACGCUGGCGGCGUGCUUAACACAUGCAAGUCGAACGAAGCACUUUAUUCGAUUUUCUUCGGAGAUGAAGAUUUAGUGACUGAGUGGCGGACGGGUGAGUAACGCGUGGAUAACCUGCCUCACACUGGGGGAUAACAGUUAGAAAUGACUGCUAAUACCGCAUAAGCGCACAGCACCGCAUGGUACGGUGUGAAAAACUCCGGUGGUGUGAGAUGGAUCCGCGUUUGAUUAGCCAGGUGGCGGGGUAACGGCCCACCAAAGCGACGAUCAAUAGCCGACCUGAGAGCGUGAACGGCCACAUUGGGACUGAGACACGGCCCAAACUCCAACGGGAGGCAGCAGUGGGGAAUAUUGCGCAAUGGGGGAAACCCUGACGCAGCGACGCCGCGUGAGCGAUGAAGUAUUUCGGUAUGUAAAGCUCUAUCAGCAGGGAAGAAUAAAUGACGGUACCUGACUAAGAAGCCCCGGCUAACUACGUGCCAGCCGCCGCCGUAA